Molecule: ribosomal RNA, 465 nt
Filed under: uncultured bacterium
Lineage: Bacteria
Description: partial 16S ribosomal RNA
Rfam family: Bacterial small subunit ribosomal RNA
Source: RNAcentral
GACGAACGCUGGCGGCGUGCUUAACACAUGCAAGUCGAACGGAAAGGCCCUGCUUGCAGGGUACUCGAGUGGCGAACGGGUGAGUAACACGUGGGUGAUCUGCCCUGCACUUCGGGAUAAGCCUGGGAAACUGGGUCUAGUACCGGAUAGGAGCCAUUUUUAGUGUGAUGGUUGGAUAGUUUUUUCGGUGUAGGAUGAGCUCGCGGCCUAUCAGCUUGUUGGUGGGGUGAUGGCCUACCAAGGCGGCGACGGGUAGCCGGCCUGAGAGGCUGGACGGCCACAUAGGGACCGAGGGGCGGCCCAGACACCGACGGGAGGCAGCAGUGGGGAAUAUUGAACAAUGGGCGCAAGCCGGAUGCAGCGAGGCCGCGUGGGGGAUGACGGCCUUCUGGUUGAAGACUCAUUGCGCAAGGGACGAAGCUUGUUGUGACGGUACCUAGAGAAGAAGCACCGGCUAACUACGUG